This 1440-nucleotide ribosomal RNA is filed under the name uncultured organism. Its description in RNAcentral is "SSU rRNA". It matches the Rfam family "Bacterial small subunit ribosomal RNA". The record is from RNAcentral.
GCUACAGGCUUAACACAUGCAAGUCGAGGGGCAGCAUUUUAGUUUGCUUGCAAACUGAAGAUGGCGACCGGCGCACGGGUGAGUAACACGUAUCCAACCUGCCGAUAACUCCGGAAUAGCCUUUCGAAAGAAAGAUUAAUACCGGAUAGCAUACGAAUAUCGCAUGAUAUUUUUAUUAAAGAAUUUCGGUUAUCGAUGGGGAUGCGUUCCAUUAGUUUGUUGGCGGGGUAACGGCCCACCAAGACAACGAUGGAUAGGGGUUCUGAGAGGAAGGUCCCCCACAUUGGAACUGAGACACGGUCCAAACUCCUACGGGAGGCAGCAGUGAGGAAUAUUGGUCAAUGGGCGAGAGCCUGAACCAGCCAAGUAGCGUGAAGGAUGAAGGCUCUAUGGGUCGUAAACUUCUUUUAUAUGGGAAUAAAGUUUUCCACGUGUGGAAUUUUGUAUGUACCAUAUGAAUAAGGAUCGGCUAACUCCGUGCCAGCAGCCGCGGUAAUACGGAGGAUCCGAGCGUUAUCCGGAUUUAUUGGGUUUAAAGGGAGCGUAGGUGGAUUGUUAAGUCAGUUGUGAAAGUUUGCGGCUCAACCGUAAAAUUGCAGUUGAAACUGGCAGUCUUGAGUACAGUAGAGGUGGGCGGAAUUCGUGGUGUAGCGGUGAAAUGCUUAGAUAUCACGAAGAACUCCGAUUGCGAAGGCAGCUCACUAGACUGUCACUGACACUGAUGCUCGAAAGUGUGGGUAUCAAACAGGAUUAGAUACCCUGGUAGUCCACACAGUAAACGAUGAAUACUCGCUGUUUGCGAUAUACAGUAAGCGGCCAAGCGAAAGCAUUAAGUAUUCCACCUGGGGAGUACGCCGGCAACGGUGAAACUCAAAGGAAUUGACGGGGGCCCGCACAAGCGGAGGAACAUGUGGUUUAAUUCGAUGAUACGCGAGGAACCUUACCCGGGCUUAAAUUGCAACAGAAUAUAUUGGAAACAGUAUAGCCGUAAGGCUGUUGUGAAGGUGCUGCAUGGUUGUCGUCAGCUCGUGCCGUGAGGUGUCGGCUUAAGUGCCAUAACGAGCGCAACCCUUAUCUUUAGUUACUAACAGGUGAUGCUGAGGACUCUAGAGAGACUGCCGUCGUAAGAUGUGAGGAAGGUGGGGAUGACGUCAAAUCAGCACGGCCCUUACGUCCGGGGCUACACACGUGUUACAAUGGGGGGUACAGAAGGCGGCUACCUGGUGACAGGAUGCUAAUCCCAAAAACCUCUCUCAGUUCGGAUCGAAGUCUGCAACCCGACUUCGUGAAGCUGGAUUCGCUAGUAAUCGCGCAUCAGCCAUGGCGCGGUGAAUACGUUCCCGGGCCUUGUACACACCGCCCGUCAAGCCAUGAAAGCCGGGGGUACCUGAAGUACGUAACCGCAAGGAGCGUCCUAGGGUAAAACUGGUAAUUGGGGCU